Empidonax traillii (willow flycatcher) is the source of this 1369-nucleotide long non-coding RNA. RefSeq lists it as uncharacterized. Lineage: Eukaryota; Metazoa; Chordata; Aves; Passeriformes; Tyrannidae. The record is from RefSeq and is a predicted model, not a curated record. The transcript is spliced from 4 exons.
GCCAUCAGAAGUGGUCUCAGGACAUCAGCCAGGGAAGGUCAUCAAUUCCAGGGGCAAAUGAGGCUGAGAACAGAGACUGUUGGGUGUCCAGCUAAUCAUCAGGAGCGGGGAGCUGGCUGGGUACAGCAGCUCUUCAGCACUGGCUCCUGCUUCCAUGGCUCCAGGUGGUGUGGGCAGUGCUGUAGCUGAGGACAGGUUACAUCUCUGGACACUAUGCACAUCAGCAUGUGCUGCUGGUUCAAAUGCAGAAGAGCUCAGUUGAGAAAAUGUGAAAUGAAGCCUGUUAUUGAUCCAAACCCAGCUCUGAAAAUGAAAGUAACCACUUCUGUAAGUUUAAAAGCGGUGCCAUGUAGCAGCUCCAUAAGCCUACUCUCACCAAGAAGGACACUGGGUGUAUUCCUGGGGGCUCUCAGCAGCUGGGAUGUCUGGAAGGAGCAGCACAGCAAUGUCAAGAUGCUUCACCUGCCACCCAAACCCCACUGGGGGAUCUCCCGGGCUGUGGAGGAUGAUAGCUAGCCAGAGAAAUCCAUCCCGAGGCUCUUUGGGAUCGAUAAGCAGUUAAGGGAGCAGCGGGAAGAUGACAUUGCCUGUCUUUGUGUGCAGACACCGCAGAGGGGCUGCACUGUUAAGGGGCAGCGCUCAGGCUCGGAGCCAUCGACUUUAGAAUGUGGUGUUUCCUGCUGGAAUUUUGGACACUUGGUGAGGGAAGAGCUGGUGGGAGUGCAACAGGAGCUGGACCAAGCUGCUGCAUCUCCAGCCCCAAACCCAAGUGAGAUUCAGAACAGACCCAGAAAAACUGAAUUGUGAAGCAAACACUGUUGUGAUUCUGCUCAGUGAUAUGUGAGGUUCCAUCUGGCAUUGCUCCCCUUGGGCACACACACCUUCCUCACUCCAGUAGUGCAGGAUGCUGGAAUCUGUGGGUGAGACCAAACUCCCACCAGCCUUAGGAAGAGUUAGAAAGCCCUUCUAUCCUCUGAACAAAGCCUUUUUGGAAAGAGGAAAGUUCUUCCUGAUGGUUUUGGAGCAGAUGCACCUGGUGGCAUGGUUUGCCAGCAAACACUUGGGAAGGUUUAGGGUCAAGUCAUGGUGUAAAAGGUGAUAUAUUACAUUUUCUUUAGUGAAUAUGUGAGAAAAUGGCCCAGCCCCCAGUCUCUUUGGAAGGGCAGAAGGAUGUUGCAGAGGCUUGCUAGAGCCAUUAUUUCCAGUGGCUGAUCUGCUCGGCCUUGUUUAAUCUGUUGUCCUUGAGCCAAUCUGCUUAAGUGGCACCGAGUGCACCCCGAUGCAAAGAACAGGCUCUCAAAGCUGGGGCUGGAUGAGGCAGCUGGUGCACCAAGGCAUCACCACCUUCUGCCUCAAGGUUUUCCAGCAG